This 505-nucleotide unclassified non-coding RNA is filed under the name Laccaria bicolor. Lineage: Eukaryota; Fungi; Basidiomycota; Agaricomycetes; Agaricales; Hydnangiaceae. The record is from RNAcentral.
UCAACACUAUUGUUGGACUUUUUCUCUUUUUUGUUUUAAUCAUGCUCGAACUUGAGGGCAGGUCAUUUUGACUUGGCCAUCAGAGAGAGCAUGUAUGCUCGAAUGAAUUUAUAAGUAGAAGAAUUUAUAAACAAGACAUUGUUAUGUCAACUGCUUGGCUUUAACUUGAGGGCAGGUCAUUUUGACUUGGCCAUUGCGGAGAACAUGACUAUAGAAAAAGACUACCAAAGUGAAUAGAAACGUUUGUAAAAGUGAACAGUGGAGUAAGUCAGAAAAGUCCUCUAAGUCGAAACCCUAACCCUAACCCUAACCCAACCCUAAGAACUACAAACCCUAACCCCUAUUUUGAAUCACCAUUGACUCUGUAACGGUGUUUGAAGUCCAUCUAUUGACUUUGAAGUCUAUUUUCGACGUUUGUAUUGACUUUUUGUAGUCUUUUCUGAUGUUGAAGUUGUUUUGAAGUUGAAAUAAAGUGGCUUAUAGGGAGUGCAGAAACAUUCCAGAU